GACGAACGCUGGCGGCGUGCCUAAUACAUGCAAGUCGAACGCACAGUUUAUACCGUAGCUUGCUACACCAUAGACUGUGAGUUGCGAACGGGUGAGUAACGCGUAGGUAACCUGCCUGGUAGCGGGGGAUAACUAUUGGAAACGAUAGCUAAUACCGCAUAAUAUUAAUUAUUGCAUGAUAAUUAAUUGAAAGGUGCAAUUGCACCACUACCAGAUGGACCUGCGUUGUAUUAGCUAGUAGGUGAGGUAACGGCUCACCUAGGCGACGAUACAUAGCCGACCUGAGAGGGUGGUCGGCCAGACUGGGACGGAGACACGGCCCAGACGCCUACGGGAGGCAGCAGGAGGGAAACUUCGGCAAUGGACGAAAGUCUGACCGAGCAACGCCGCGUGAGGGAAGAAGGAUGUCGGAUCGUAAAGCUCGGUUGUAAGAGAAGAACGGGUGUGAGAGUGGAAAGUUCACACUGUGACGGUAUCUUACCAGAAAGGGACGGCUAACUACGUG
This 505-nucleotide ribosomal RNA is filed under the name uncultured bacterium. Its description in RNAcentral is "partial 16S ribosomal RNA". It matches the Rfam family "Bacterial small subunit ribosomal RNA", at positions 28 to 507 of the family's 1533-position model. The record is from RNAcentral.